UACAGAGACUGCAAGCGUUAUUCGGAUUCACUGGGCGUAAAGGGUGCGCAGGCGGCCAAGUGUGUCAGGUGUGAAAUCCCGAGGCUUAACCUCGGAACUGCGCCUGAAACUACUUGGCUAGUAGUACUGGAGAGGGUAACGGAAUUCACGGUGUAGCAGUGAAAUGCGUAGAUAUCGUGAGGAACACCAGUGGCGAAGGCGACUUCCUGGCCUGUUCUUGACGCUGAGGCGCGAAAGCUAGGGGAGCAAACGGG
This 254-nucleotide ribosomal RNA is filed under the name uncultured bacterium. RNAcentral describes it as "partial 16S ribosomal RNA". It matches the Rfam family "Bacterial small subunit ribosomal RNA", at positions 524 to 776 of the family's 1533-position model. The record is from RNAcentral.